This 391-nucleotide unclassified non-coding RNA is filed under the name soil metagenome. RNAcentral describes it as "partial contains 5.8S ribosomal RNA, internal transcribed spacer 2, and large subunit ribosomal RNA". The stretch from base 1 to 122 matches the Rfam family "5.8S ribosomal RNA", at positions 35 to 154 of the family's 154-position model. The record is from RNAcentral.
GAUGAAGAACGUAGCGAAAUGCGAAACUUGGUGUGAAUUGCAGAAUCCCGUGAACCAUCGAGUCUUUGAACGCAAGUUGCGCCCGAAGCCAUUAGGCCGAGGGCACGCCUGCCUGGGCGUCACACGUCGUUGCCCCCCCAUCUACUCCUUCGGGAUUGCGGGGGGCGGAUGAUGGCCUCCCGUGCGCCUCGCCGCGCGGUUGGCAUAAAUGCCAAGUCCUCGGCGACGCACGCCACGACAAUCGGUGGUUGCGAAACCUCGGUUGCCCGUCGUGUGCGGUCGUCGCGCAUCGAGGGCUCGAAAAAAUUGCCGGGUUCCGGCUCGGCUUUCAACGCGACCCCAGGUCAGGCGGGGUUACCCGCUGAAUUUAAGCAUAUCAAUAAGCGGAGGA